CAGCCGCCACGGUAAUACGUAGGGUGCAAGCGUUAAUCGGAAUUACUGGGCGUAAAGCGUGCGCAGGCGGUUAUAUAAGACAGAUGUGAAAUCCCCGGGCUCAACCUGGGAACUGCAUUUGUGACUGUAUAGCUAGAGUACGGCAGAGGGGGAUGGAAUUCCGCGUGUAGCAGUGAAAUGCGUAGAUAUGCGGAGGAACACCGAUGGCGAAGGCAAUCCCCUGGGCCUGUACUGACGCUCAUGCACGAAAGCGUGGGGAGCAAACAUGAUUAGAUACCCCUGUAGUCCCUGUCUCUUAUAC
Molecule: ribosomal RNA, 301 nt
Filed under: uncultured bacterium
Lineage: Bacteria
Description: partial 16S ribosomal RNA
Rfam family: Bacterial small subunit ribosomal RNA
Source: RNAcentral